GUCUACGGCCAUGCCACCCUGAAUGUACCCAAUCUCGUCUGAUCUCAGAAGCUAAGUAGGGUCAGGUCUGAUUAGCACUUGGAAGGGAGACCACCUAAGAAUACUAGGUGCUGUAGGAG
RNAcentral lists this ribosomal RNA (119 nucleotides) under Pteropus alecto (black flying fox). Lineage: Eukaryota; Metazoa; Chordata; Mammalia; Chiroptera; Pteropodidae. The record is from RNAcentral.